GCCGGGGUGGUGGAAUUGGCAGACACGCGGGACUCAAAAUCCCGUGCCCUAAAAAGCGUGGGGGUUCAAGUCCCCCCCUCGGCACCA
This 87-nucleotide transfer RNA is filed under the name candidate division WWE3 bacterium CG_4_10_14_0_2_um_filter_41_14. RNAcentral's name for it is "tRNA-Leu". It matches the Rfam family "tRNA". Rfam says of the family: Transfer RNA (tRNA) molecules are approximately 80 nucleotides in length. Their secondary structure includes four short double-helical elements and three loops (D, anti-codon, and T loops). Lineage: Bacteria; candidate division WWE3. RNAcentral also lists the same sequence under 2 other names. The record is from RNAcentral.